RNAcentral lists this ribosomal RNA (452 nucleotides) under uncultured bacterium. RNAcentral describes it as "bacterial SSU rRNA". It matches the Rfam family "Bacterial small subunit ribosomal RNA", at positions 28 to 526 of the family's 1533-position model. The record is from RNAcentral.
GAUGAACGCUGGCGGCAUGCCUAACACAUGCAAGUCGAACGAAGUCUUCGGACUUAGUGGCGGACGGGUGAGUAACACGUGGGAACGUGCCCUUUGGUACGGAAUAACUCAGGGAAACUUGAGCUAAUACCGUAUGUGCCCUUCGGGGGAAAGAUUUAUCGCCAUUGGAGCGGCCCGCGUCUGAUUAGCUAGUUGGUGGUGUAAUGGACCACCAAGGCGACGAUCAGUAGCUGGUCUGAGAGGAUGAUCAGCCACAUUGGGACUGAGACACGGCCCAAACUCCUACGGGAGGCAGCAGUGGGGAAUCUUGCGCAAUGGGCGAAAGCCUGACGCAGCCAUGCCGCGUGAAUGAUGAAGGUCUUAGGAUUGUAAAAUUCUUUCACCGGGGACGAUAAUGACGGUACCCGGAGAAGAAGCCCCGGCUAACUUCGUGCCAGCAGCCGCAGUAACAC